UGUCGCUUAGAUAAAUGAAAUAUGAUAUCGAACAGUUAAUACGCUUUUAAAACUGACCCUGCUAAACCGAAUACUUUCCCAUAUAAGAGUUAUCUCCCCGAACACUGUUUUUCUUGUUAUCGCUUAAUCUUCGCAACCUUAAAAGAAACUGACAAAUUUAUUUUACUAAAUUGCUCGUUAUAUCCUCAGGAUGAUUUGAUUCAUUUUGACCGAAGCUAUCCGGAGAUUCCAUAUGAGAGUUAU
RNAcentral lists this long non-coding RNA (243 nucleotides) under Mytilus galloprovincialis (Mediterranean mussel). The record is from RNAcentral. Lineage: Eukaryota; Metazoa; Mollusca; Bivalvia; Mytilida; Mytilidae.